UACGUAGGGGGCAAGCGUUGUCCGGAAUCAUUGGGCGUAAAGCGCGCGUAGGCGGCCCGGUAAGUCCGUUGUGAAAGUCAAAGGCUCAACCUUUGAACGCCGAUGGAUACUGCCGGGCUAGAGUCCGGAAGAGGCGAGUGGAAUUCCUGGUGUAGCGGUGGAAUGCGCAGAUAUCAGGAGGAACACCAAUAGCGAAGGCAGCUCGCUGGGACGGUACUGACGCUGAGACGCGAAAGCGUGGGGAGCGAACAGG
This 253-nucleotide ribosomal RNA is filed under the name uncultured bacterium. RNAcentral describes it as "partial 16S ribosomal RNA". It matches the Rfam family "Bacterial small subunit ribosomal RNA", at positions 524 to 776 of the family's 1533-position model. The record is from RNAcentral.